UACGUAGGGGGCAAGCGUUGUCCGGAAUCAUUGGGCGUAAAGAGCGCGUAGGCGGCCCUGUAAGUCCGCUGUGAAAGUCAAGGGCUCAACCCUUGGAUGCCGGUGGAUACUGCAGGGCUAGAGUCCGGAAGAGGCGAGUGGAAUUCCUGGUGUAGCGGUGAAAUGCGCAGAUAUCAGGAGGAACACCGAUGGCGAAAGCGGCUCUCUGGAACGGUACUGACGCUGAGACGCGAAAGCGUGGGGAGCGAACAGG
RNAcentral lists this ribosomal RNA (253 nucleotides) under uncultured bacterium. RNAcentral's name for it is "partial 16S ribosomal RNA". It matches the Rfam family "Bacterial small subunit ribosomal RNA", at positions 524 to 776 of the family's 1533-position model. The record is from RNAcentral.